RNAcentral lists this ribosomal RNA (467 nucleotides) under uncultured bacterium. Its description in RNAcentral is "partial 16S ribosomal RNA". It matches the Rfam family "Bacterial small subunit ribosomal RNA", at positions 28 to 507 of the family's 1533-position model. The record is from RNAcentral.
GACGAACGCUGGCGGCGUGCUUAACACAUGCAAGUCGAACGGAAAGGCUCCAGCUUGCUGGAGUACUCGAGUGGCGAACGGGUGAGUAACACGUGGGUAAUCUGCCCUGCACUCUGGGAUAAGCCUGGGAAACUGGGUCUAAUACUGGAUAUGACCUUUCUCCUUAUGGGGUUUGGUGGAAAGUUUUUCGGUGUAGGAUGAGCCCGCGGCCUAUCAGCUUGUUGGUGGGGUGAUGGCCUACCAAGGCGACGACGGGUAGCCGGCCUGAGAGGGUGAUCGGCCACAUUGGGACUGAGAUACGGCCCAGACUCCUACAGGAGGCAGCAGUGGGGAAUAUUGCACAAUGGGCGGAAGCCUGAUGCAGCGACGCCGCGUGAGGGAUGACGGCCUUCGGGUUGUAAACCUCUUUCAGCAGGGACGAAGCGUAAGUGACGGUACCUGCAGAAGAAGCACCGGCUAACUAUGUG